AACCCGACUACAUGAAGCUGGAAUCGCUAGUAAUCGCGGAUCAGAAUGCCGCGGUGAAUACGUUCCCGGGUCUUGUACACACCGCCCGUCACACCAUGGGAGUCGGAAAUGCCCGAAGUCUGUGACCUAACCGAGAGGGAGGAGCAGCCGAAGGCAGGUCUGAUGACUGGGGUGAAGUCGUAACAAGGUAAC
This 192-nucleotide ribosomal RNA is filed under the name uncultured bacterium. RNAcentral's name for it is "partial 16S ribosomal RNA". It matches the Rfam family "Bacterial small subunit ribosomal RNA", at positions 1309 to 1500 of the family's 1533-position model. The record is from RNAcentral.